Molecule: non-coding RNA, 4894 nt
Organism: Coturnix japonica (Japanese quail)
Lineage: Eukaryota; Metazoa; Chordata; Aves; Galliformes; Phasianidae
Source: RefSeq, a predicted model, not a curated record
AAUUCUGAGGAAACAUCCCAUUCUCCACGGUUUCUCCGUAGGGAUCUGAGAUUUUGGCAUGGCUCCUCACAAAGAGCACUGCCACAUUUCGGUGGGCAUGUCACAUGCAAACAUGCAUCAUACGGAAGGAAUUAAAGGUUAAAAGACAUUUUGUGACUAUGCUGAUUAAACAGCUGUUUUUUCAUCAUACUUGUAAUUAGACCAUCCUCUGUUAUCCAUGUCAUUAUCCAAAAAUAAAUGCAUAUGAAGAUAAACACCUAGUUUGCUUAUAUAGACUGAGAAUCCCUAGUUUUAGAAUGAGCUUCAGAUAAAUACAACUUGCUUUUGCUGCUGUGAAUUGCAGUCAGCCACAUACCUUCAAACUGCAAACUCCACUUUCCUACGUAAGUCCUGACACAACUCGCUCUACCACGAUUUAACUGAGACAAACUCCUGACAAGCAUUUAAUUUCCUGAGGAAAAGAAGCAAAAGUUUUGACUGUGACAUCUGAACACUUGCACUGUACUGUUCAGCCUUUCAUACAAAGUAGGAAACUGCUGGGAAACACCAUAUAUUAGAAUUGUAUUCAACACAGAAAAAAAAAUCCUAGCUCUACCCUAAAAAUUUUGCCACAAAGUUUGAAUGCACAAUUUAUAUUUGGGUUCAUAUAUUUAAAACUUCAUUUAAAAUACAUUGACAGUAAUGAAAACUUCAGAAAUCUAAUGGAGUUACUUAUAGCAACAAGGACAUGUUUAGCACAUAAGCCAUUCUUGCUCAGCUACCAAUUGCCAUGGAAAUGAGAAUGGAAGACUACAGGCACCAAUUUUACGGCCAAAUUUUACUCUUGGAUGUAAAUUCGUAGCAGUCAGUCAAUAAUGAGCACUGAGCUGCAGCUCAGGACAGACUGCUUUCUGCUCCUGCAGAGUUAUGAAUUCACCUAGCAGGAAAUAAUUAGGCAAAGGUAUAAAUUUAACUGAACAGGAAAUUUGGGUUCUCAGUAACUGGAGCAGAAGUUAUCAUCUAAUUUAUCCCACUUAUUUUUUCGGCAUUUUUUUUCUACUAAAAAACCCUCAUUCUAGAUAUCUAAAAUUAUAUAGUGAGCUCACCUGGAAAGAGAAGAACUCUUUAGUUCAAAUAACUUCCUGUAGGGAAGAAAAAAAAUUAGCAUUAAAAAUGCACACAACAAUAAAAGCCAAAGGGUACACUUGGACUUUUUUACAGUCCCAGAGAUACGGUGUAACAACACGCUAUAGGUAAACACACCUGUCUGUGUACACACACACAGCUACCCUGAUAAAAUGAUCUCAUUCUUACAAAAAGGAAAAAAACAAUCAUCCAUCUCCCUCAUAAUAUCCAGCAAGAAACACACGGUGAGUAACAACUUCAAAUCUGUACGUGGCAAUUGCUUACACACAACAGAACAUACAUGGUGAUAAGGAAACACAUUAAAACAUGAAAGUUACUGACAACAAAAACCGUAAGAAAUGCAAAGUCUCAUUUAUCAAUGUUAAAACAAUUUAACAAACUCUAUUACAGUUGCUCAAAUUACAGCCAUAAAACGAAGUCAGGAACACAAAAUGAUCAUAUGCUCUUAAAAAUCUGAAAAAGGACCACAUGAGUAACUGAAAUGUAAGUAUAUGCUAACAAAACAUCAUCAUUUCUUUGAGAACAAAGGUAAAACAAACAUCUUAAAAAGUUAAAGUAUAAACAGGUAUUAUCUUGUACAAGUGUUGUUGCAGUUUGUCUAAACAAAGGACUUUCAAAAAGCUGUAGUUAUCAGAGUUCUUUGAGACAAGGAUCACCGGGCACUUGUGGACAGCACAAAAAUACAAAAUUUAAAGGAAAGUUUGUCUUACCAUGUUAGAUUUAAGAGUUUUCACCACUGAACUGAUGAUUUGUUUUGCUUUGAACAAAGUUUUAAUAGCUUACUGGUAUUUCACCAUUUAUCACGUAUCCCAGAGACUAAAACAAACAAACCAACACAACCCUACUAAGCAUCCCAGUAUUCAAUAAAUACUACUGAUCCUAUUAUGUAAGCCUUUAAAAAAAGACAUAAUUCAAAUUACGCAAAUAAAUACCUAGCUAUAACUUUAUAAAUAUUUAAAUAAAAUCCUGUUGAUUGUGGAUUAAAUUCCUAAAUAUACAGCUAAACUACAAAUUCCAUUGUCUUAAAUUCAGAAACACAGAUCAGAAAGAUCUUCUUUUUUCCUCAGAUCCAAAGCAUCCCAAAGGGAAAAAAACACUUAUGCUCUCAAACUGAUUGCUUUCUGUAACAGUUGCAAACUUCCUCAAACCCUUCAUCACAAGAAGCAGCGCCAUCCCUCUUCUCCUGGAUAAUGCUUUUUAACCUGUAGGGCCUCCAGGCUCUGUAAACAGCUGAGGAAAGGCAGCCAAAACUAAAAACUCUUAUUUCCUUUACUGUCAGAAACAUGUUAAGAGAUUUACACUUCUGCUAGAAAACAUAAUGGACUGGAAACUGACAGUCCUUUAUCUACCCACAGAAGUUAAUGAUCCCUAAUACAGCACAUUCAUGAUAUUCCAAGGCUGUAAGAUGACAUCUAUUCAAAAGCAAAGAUCACAUAUUCCUGUUAUUUCCUAAAAGCUUAAAGACCAACUUGAUGCUCCUGAUAUAUUAAAACCGUGUCGUUUGGCCUAUUUGGUCCCUUUCUAUGCAAUUGGUUUUACAUUCUUAACCUGCUUCUCCUGAUUUUUGAGAAACUCCUCAACAAAGUAUCCUAUUAUAUGGCCUGAGCAUUUCCACUACUGUGAUUUGUGAUUCACGAAAUCAAAAGUAUUACCACUGCGUAGGCCAAACAUUACUACAAGACUCAUCAAAUCAUUUCAGUCACACAUACCUCCCGUUCUGCACUAAACAAUGCUGUGAACCACUAUUCUUUGCAUACAUCUGACCUCAUGCUGCAUUUCAGUGGCGAGGUGACUAAAUGUCAUUUUUCACUUAGGCAGAUUGAGCGUUACAGGUGAAACAAUAAGAUUAAAAUAGGAUGUCAACUUAGGCUCUUGCACUUACGGCAUGCUGGGGUAGAUUCACAGCUCAGAAAGCUUAGUCAGCCCUUGGCAUAACUGAAAUUUCUUCACUGGCUUACUCUGAUGCUACAGACAUAAUUCAUGUUAUCAACAACAAAAGAAAAGACUAUGUUUACUUGGCUAAUUAGAUUUUUUUUUCCUUAUUCUUUUACAAUAUUUAAUUAAAUAUUAAUUAAACAUGUAAUUAAAAAUCUCAGAGUCCUCUUAGAGAAUCGUCUAUUUGCAAUCCAUGACUGAGUUGUUGUGGAAAACAGACUGAGGUACUUUGGUAAACAUUGUGAAACACCUCUCUCUUCACAUCAUAUCCAGCACAGGAAAGAAGUGAGAUAGAGCAGAGGGAAAAGGAACAACAGCAACAACAAAUGUUUUUAACACUUAGCUGAAUGGGAAGGGACUACUGAUAUGUUACUGAUAUGAUAAUAUAUACCUUUACAUAUGUAAUGAAUAGGUAAGAAGUCACCUACAUUUAUAUCCAUUGUGAAUAGAUCUCCAAAAACCAAGUGAUUUUUAAGCCUUUUCUUUCUUUGUUUACUGUUCCGGCACUGUUUUUGUGUGUUUCUUUCUCAGUUCACUAUACACAAGUACUUCAACAAACAAAAUGUUCCUAACAGUUGAUUUUGCAUGUUUCUUUGUGAUAUACAUAUAUAUUUUUUUUUGGUUGAAAACGAAAGAAUAGCAUGCUUUUAUACUUAUCUAUUGCACAAUUCAGUACUUUUUCAUUCUCCUUCCUAUUAAAGUAAUUCCGCUACUAGACUGAAUAGCCCCACAGAAUCCAUUUGGUCUGUUAGCUCAGGGACUCCCAGAACAAAAUUAUUAUUAAUAAUAAUAAUAAUAACAACAACAACCCUAAUUAUGCCAUUAAAUACAAAUGUACUGAGACGGCCUUUGAGAGUUCAUGAGUAAACAGGAAUUGUAAAAAAAAUAAAAUAAAAUAAAAUAAAAGCCUCUGUAAUAAAAUACAGUACAGUACACAGAUUCAUGUAAUACAAUGGCUCAAUCUGGAGCUGUAACAGACAACAACAAUGCAUUUAAAAUGUUUAUUAUGGGCUGCUUCUUUUUCUUUAAUUGCAGGUAAAAAAUAAAUCCUCAGAGGAUAUUUAAAGCAACAAAAAAACAAAAAACAAAACAAAAAAAAAACACAAAAAACCCCCACUACAUUCUACUUUAGAAGUUCUCCCAAUAAGUUGAUUUAUAAUCAAUAAAAAUAAAAAACAAUGAACAUUACAUCUGAGCAAGCACUCCAUUAUAACCCACCUCAUAGUGCCAGAUUACUGCAGCAAACUGUGUCCUGUGCUCAAAGAGUUAUUGCAUCUGCUGGAACACUACAGGUUAUCCUCAUGACGGCUGGAGUAUCAACACAGACUUCCAGCUUUCAUUCUCAGUUUCUCCCUUAGCGCACCGGUGAGAACAUUAACAUUCUUACAAUAGCUUUAUAUAAGCAACAGAACACAGACCUCUGUUAUUAAAUCAGCCUUCUAAAAUAUAAAAAUAUUUGUUAUUGUGAAAAUGUCUUUCAAUCAUACUUCGAUUUUCAUAGUUUUAAUAAGGAAUACCUAAUUAGAACCAUCACUUUAGGACUACAAUGUGCAUUCAGUUGACUUCAUGUAAAUAGACAAACAGUUAAAAACACGUACUAACAUUAAAUAGAGUCAAAAUUGCAAAAACAUACAAUCUGACAACGUUGUCAUGUGCUCUUUCAAAGAGUGCAUAGGACAGAGUGCAGCAGUCAAUACAGUAAAUUCUUUUGAUGCAAUCCCAGGUCAAAGCUGUAAACAUUCCUAGUUGCAGUUUCUUGGAAACUUUUCAUUCAUUUCAAGUUUUUGUUAGCGAGUUGCACAGGGCUUUCCCCUGUCAUUUUUUCUACCAGUCA